RNAcentral lists this long non-coding RNA (2529 nucleotides) under Nicotiana tabacum (common tobacco). RNAcentral's name for it is "long non-coding RNA (NTAB_LNC007137)". The record is from RNAcentral. Lineage: Eukaryota; Viridiplantae; Streptophyta; Magnoliopsida; Solanales; Solanaceae.
GAACAAGCCCUAUUAUAACUAACUAAAAUUCUAAACAGACCAUCAUACCCAAGAAAUUCAUUACAAAAGAGUCUCAAGGUAAAUAUCGCUUGAAAACUUAAAUACUAAAAAUAAACAUUAACAUGUUUGACAACUAAAUCGGCCAACAAGUCAUGAGCCUCUAGUGAAAGUUUGAGUACAUAAAUCUUCGGGACGUUCUCUAGAAUGAUAUAAAAGUCAAAUGACAACUAAAGAUCAAAAAAGGGAACCAACAUCACUAGAAAGAGUCAACGGCUGCUUCAAGCCAUGUGCCUCGUCACCUACAAACUCAACGUCUACCACGUCUCAAGCCAUGUACCUCGUCACCUACAAACUCAACGUCUGUCACACAACGUGGCAGAUCCAAAUGAGCUAAGUACUUUCAAAAGAAUAUUCAAAAAGUCUCAUUGAUAACCCCUUAAGCGGAUAACAAGACUAUCGUGGGCUAUAUAUAAUUAUAAUAAAAUACAACAAGUAGGGAAGGUAAUUCACAAAAUACACAUUAAAUAAUCUGUAAACUGAAAUUGAUUCUGAAUACAGAAUUUAAACUGAUAACUAAAAAUUAAAAAUUUAAUACUAAAGCUGAUCGGAUAAUCAAGGGCGUAUCUAGGGGGUUCCAUGGGGCACGUGAAUCCAUGCUCCCCGCCCUAAAUAUCAUGUAUAAUAAUAUUAUAUUUUUUUAAAAAUAUUUAAAUAUAUGUGUGUGCACCCAUGCUCAAAGUAUUAUAUGAUGUGAUGGUUAUUGAGUGUACCUCUCUAGGUGAGGUUGUGAGUUCAAAUCUUAUGUCAAUCUUGUUAUUUUUUCCUCUCUUUUUUUCUAAAAGUAGACGCCCACGGGAGAUGGUUGUGUCUGGUAUUAUUUUUUGCGUAUUAAUUAAGUACUUUUUCUUUUUAAAUUUUUUGUUUAGUUUAUUCUUUUAAAAUUUUCACACACUGAAAUUCCUUUUCUUCUUUUGUCGUUGUAAAAUCUUAUAUGAUUAAACAAAAUAUGUAUAUUAAAACUAGUAGCAGUGUAAGAUGUAGCAUAUAGUCAAUGGGUUCAACUGAUCUCAAUAUUUUCAACAUGAAAAAUAGAUAUAGAUGUAAGAAAAUUACUAUUUAUAAAAAAAUUGAACUUAUAAUUCCAAAAGUGCAAUGGGUUCGCAAUCGUAAGAACUAAAGGUUGAACCCGUAAAAUUUAUAUUCUGGAUCCACCUCUUCUUAAUAGUGCACCCAUCCUGCCAAAACCCUGGAUCCGCCUCUGCGGAUAAUGAAACUAAAGUUGAGAGCUGAGUCUAAAACUGAUAUCUAAACUGACACUGAAAACUAAGUUAUAUUUUUAAAGAGUUACUCUUAAAAAAAAAUGAUUUACAUGAAUUGGACCUAGGAUGACAUACAGGGCCUACGAAAACGAUUGUGGGGCGCUCUAAUUGUGUUCACUCAAGCUCAAUCCAUAAUGGGACCAUCGAGUACGCCCAAUCAAGAUCUCAACCUAUCUGAAUGUGUUAGCACUUGCAAGUAUGGGGUAGUUAGCCCUGGCCACCGCGACACUCAUACUCAUGGAGGUUAGCUACUUCUCCCUUUUCGGAUAUGAUCUCAUUAAUUUAAAACUACAAAAGAAAAGUCUAAGUAGUACAAGUAAUUUCACAUAAGCAAGUGAUUGCAACAUCUCCUAUAAUUUUGUCAUUUUCUAUCAGAAGAGUUCACAAUCAUAUGUAGCUUAUUCUGAAAAGUAAUGCAAACAAUAAUAUGCACAUUCUAAUGUAGCUCUUAACUUAGGAAAGAAACCUCAACUUACCUUAAAUAUUCUUCUUUUCUGGCAGGGUUAGUCUCCCCAUGCAUUUACCACAAUUAAUCACCACAAUCUACACCAAAUAACUCAAUUAAAGUUCAUUCUAUCCCCAUGAAUUCAAUUUUCCUCAAUUCAAACUUUGGCUAAAAAGCCCUAAUCCCAAAACUUCGAUUUCAAGAUUUUGAAUAAAGUUUUACUCUUUUGGUGUUUCUAGUUUGUACAUGUCGUUCAUAAUCUUAGACCCAUAAAAGGAUUCAAAAAUACGAUGAGAGGUUACCUUAACUCAAAACCCUAGAUUUCUUGUUGUUUAGUGUUCUUGAACAUUUUGUAUGAACUUCCUACUAAUUCAACCUAUAAUAGCAUGAACUUCAACUUUAGUGGUGAGAAUUCAACUUAAUUUAGGUAGGAAUUGGUGUAAAGAUCUUACCUUGAGCAUUUCUCACAAGUACUAGGUGCACUAGGUUAAAGAAGAAAUCUUAUUCUUGGGUUCUUGUAGAUGAUCUAAUGAUUUGAAGAUAAAAUUUUAUUAGAAUCUAUGUUGGGGAGUAAUAAUCCAACCUUAAUCGCAUUAAAAUCUCACCUUGGGCGUUGAAAAAUGAUUUUGGGUCAACAUCUUCUUGAGUAGAAUAAACCCUACCUAUUUGGGGUGAUUGGAAUGGGAAAAUCCUGUCCACGGGCUAUUUAUAGACAGACUUCCCAGGUGGGGCGUGCCUUUUCAGGCUAAAGCAUAAAUAUUUCAG